Molecule: ribosomal RNA, 557 nt
Filed under: uncultured Methylobacterium sp.
Lineage: Bacteria; Pseudomonadati; Pseudomonadota; Alphaproteobacteria; Hyphomicrobiales; Methylobacteriaceae
Description: bacterial SSU rRNA
Rfam family: Bacterial small subunit ribosomal RNA
Source: RNAcentral
ACGGGUGAGUAACACGUGGGAACGUACCCUUUGGUUCGGAAUAACGCUGGGAAACUAGCGCUAAUACCGGAUACGCCCUUUUGGGGAAAGGCUUGCUGCCGAAGGAUCGGCCCGCGUCUGAUUAGCUAGUUGGUGGGGUAAUGGCCUACCAAGGCGACGAUCAGUAGCUGGUCUGAGAGGAUGAUCAGCCACACUGGGACUGAGACACGGCCCAGACUCCUACGGGAGGCAGCAGUGGGGAAUAUUGGACAAUGGGCGCAAGCCUGAUCCAGCCAUGCCGCGUGAGUGAUGAAGGCCUUAGGGUUGUAAAGCUCUUUUGUCCGGGACGAUAAUGACGGUACCGGAAGAAUAAGCCCCGGCUAACUUCGUGCCAGCAGCCGCGGUAAUACGAAGAGGGCUAGCGUUGCUCGGAAUCACUGGGCGUAAAGGGCGCGUAGGCGGCCAUUCAAGUCGGGGGUGAAAGCCUGUGGCUCAACCACAGAAUUGCCUUCGAUACUGUUUGGCUUGAGUAUGGUAGAGGUCGGUGGAACUGCGAGUGUAGAGGUGAAAUUCGUAGA